This 463-nucleotide ribosomal RNA is filed under the name Salmonella enterica. RNAcentral describes it as "partial 23S ribosomal RNA". It matches the Rfam family "Bacterial large subunit ribosomal RNA", at positions 2202 to 2664 of the family's 2925-position model. The record is from RNAcentral. Lineage: Bacteria; Pseudomonadati; Pseudomonadota; Gammaproteobacteria; Enterobacterales; Enterobacteriaceae. RNAcentral also lists the same sequence under 1 other name.
ACCCUUUAAUGUUUGAUGUUCUAACGUGGACCCGUAAUCCGGGUUGCGGACAGUGUCUGGUGGGUAGUUUGACUGGGGCGGUCUCCUCCUAAAGAGUAACGGAGGAGCACGAAGGUUGGCUAAUCCUGGUCGGACAUCAGGAGGUUAGUGCAAUGGCAUAAGCCAGCUUGACUGCGAGCGUGACGGCGCGAGCAGGUGCGAAAGCAGGUCAUAGUGAUCCGGUGGUUCUGAAUGGAAGGGCCAUCGCUCAACGGAUAAAAGGUACUCCGGGGAUAACAGGCUGAUACCGCCCAAGAGUUCAUAUCGACGGCGGUGUUUGGCACCUCGAUGUCGGCUCAUCACAUCCUGGGGCUGAAGUAGGUCCCAAGGGUAUGGCUGUUCGCCAUUUAAAGUGGUACGCGAGCUGGGUUUAGAACGUCGUGAGACAGUUCGGUCCCUAUCUGCCGUGGGCGCUGGAGAACUG